UAUUGAAGCGGUUCUCGCGAAUCGUUUCCUGAUAAAAGGAUUGCCUCAUGGCUCUCGACGUUCAAGAAAAAGCUCAAAUCGUAGCUGACUACCAGCAAGCUGUU
Molecule: non-coding RNA, 104 nt
Organism: Pseudomonas sp. MF4836
Lineage: Bacteria; Pseudomonadati; Pseudomonadota; Gammaproteobacteria; Pseudomonadales; Pseudomonadaceae
Source: Rfam